GACGAACGCUGGCGGCGUGCUUAACACAUGCAAGUCGAACGGAAAGGCCCUGCUUUUGUGGGGUGCUCGAGUGGCGAACGGGUGAGUAACACGUGAGUAACCUGCCCUUGACUUUGGGAUAACUUCAGGAAACUGGGGCUAAUACCGGAUAGGAGCUCCUGCAGCAUGGUGGGGGUUGGAAAGUUUCGGCGGUUGGGGAUGGACUCGCGGCUUAUCAGCUUGUUGGUGGGGUAGUGGCUUACCAAGGCUUUGACGGGUAGCCGGCCUGAGAGGGUGACCGGCCACAUUGGGACUGAGGUACGGCCCAGUCUCCUACGGGAGGCAACAGUGGGGAAUAUUGCACAAUGGGCGGAAGCCUGAUGCAGCAACGCCGCGGGCGGGAUGACGGCCUUCGGGUUGUAAACCGCUUUCGCCUGUGACGAAGCGUGUGUGACGGUAAUGUGUAAAGAAGCACCGGCUAACUACGUG
RNAcentral lists this ribosomal RNA (468 nucleotides) under uncultured bacterium. RNAcentral describes it as "partial 16S ribosomal RNA". It matches the Rfam family "Bacterial small subunit ribosomal RNA", at positions 28 to 507 of the family's 1533-position model. The record is from RNAcentral.